RNAcentral lists this transfer RNA (74 nucleotides) under Planctomycetota bacterium. Its description in RNAcentral is "Planctomycetes bacterium (marine metagenome) tRNA-Val". It matches the Rfam family "tRNA". From Rfam's summary of the family: Transfer RNA (tRNA) molecules are approximately 80 nucleotides in length. Their secondary structure includes four short double-helical elements and three loops (D, anti-codon, and T loops). Lineage: Bacteria; Pseudomonadati; Planctomycetota. The record is from RNAcentral.
GGGCGGUUAGCUCAGUUGGUUAGAGCGCCGUGCUCACACCGCGGAGGUCGUUGGUUCGAAUCCAAUACCGCCCA